This 328-nucleotide unclassified non-coding RNA is filed under the name soil metagenome. Its description in RNAcentral is "partial contains 5.8S ribosomal RNA, internal transcribed spacer 2, and large subunit ribosomal RNA". The stretch from base 1 to 120 matches the Rfam family "5.8S ribosomal RNA", at positions 35 to 154 of the family's 154-position model. The record is from RNAcentral.
GAUGAAGAACGCAGCGAAAUGCGAUAAGUAGUGUGAAUUGCAGAAUUCAGUGAAUCAUCGAAUCUUUGAACGCACAUUGCGCCCUCUGGUAUUCCGGGGGGCAUGCCUGUUCGAGCGUCAUUAUAACCACUCAAGCUCUCGCUUGGUAUUGGGGUUCGCGGUUCCGCGGCCCCUAAAAUCAGUGGCGGUGCCUGUCGGCUCUACGCGUAGUAAUACUCCUCGCGUCUGGGUCCGGUAGGUCUACUUGCCAGCAACCCCCAAUUUUUACAGGUUGACCUCGGAUCAGGUAGGGAUACCCGCUGAACUUAAGCAUAUCAAUAGCGGAGGA